Long non-coding RNA from Micropterus salmoides (largemouth bass), 609 nucleotides. RefSeq lists it as uncharacterized. NCBI's taxonomy places the organism in Eukaryota, Metazoa, Chordata, Actinopteri, Centrarchiformes, Centrarchidae. The transcript is spliced from 2 exons. The record is from RefSeq and is a predicted model, not a curated record.
GUGGUUGGUGUUUGUAGCCCAGGUAUGUGAAAGGAAUAAUUUUGUCUAUUUUCCCUUAAAAGUUUGUUGCUUACCUGCACUUUGACACUGUUAGGAACGUCCUUUUCUCCUGUGCUGUGACCACUGAUGUAUCUUCAUGACCCAUCUCAGAGGUGGUUCCUCCAUGUCUUAGACCCCUGCUGUUUUGCCUAAGUUUAUUUUGUUUCCUGUUUUGCCCUUUAGUUUAGUGUUUUAGUUAAAUAGUAUAGUUUGCCCUUGUUCAGACAACUGGGUUACUUGGUUGGUUACUUUUUCUCGUUCAGUUUAUAUUUUGAGCAGGGUGCCAUCUUGUUGGGAGGCUAGGCACCUGUGGCAAGGUCCCUUUACUCUUCUGCAUGUGAGUAAUUGCACGGGGACACUAUAUAGACUACACCAUUUUUGCUGUGAAUAAUGCAUUGAAGUUUGUAGUGCUGCACUUAAGGUGGGUAGUAGUACUCCUGGGUACUUUGUGUAGUCUGCCUCUCCAAGUGACCUCUGCUGAGCUUUGGUUAUUUUGGGGCACUGGAUUUAUAUAUAUUUGAACUUGUAUUAACUAAUUGUAAUAAAAUUGUCAUAUCUACCAUUUUAUAA